RNAcentral lists this ribosomal RNA (443 nucleotides) under uncultured bacterium. RNAcentral's name for it is "partial 16S ribosomal RNA". It matches the Rfam family "Bacterial small subunit ribosomal RNA", at positions 338 to 795 of the family's 1533-position model. The record is from RNAcentral.
CCUACGGGUGGCAGCAGUGGGGGAUAUUGGACAAUGGGGGGAACCCUGAUCCAGCGACGCCGCGUGAGUGAAGAAGCAUUUCUGUAUGUAAAGCUCUGUCAGUAGGGAAGAAAGCAAUGACGGUACCUGACCAAGAAGCCCCGGCUAACUACGUGCCAGCAGCCGCGGUAAUACGUAGGGGGCAAGCGUUAUCCGGAAUUACUGGGUGUAAAGGGAGCGUAGACGGCUGUGCAAGUCUGGAGUGAAAGGCGGGGGCCCAAACCCCGGACUGCUCUGGAAACUGGAUGGCUGGAGUGCAGGAGAGGUAUGCGGAAUGCGUGGUGUAGCGGUGAAAUGCAUAGAUAUUAGGAAGAACACCGGUGGCGAAGGCAGCUUACUGGACUAUAACUGACGUUGAGGCUCGAAAGCGUGGGUAGCAAACAGGAUUAGAUACCCCGGUAGUC